This is a non-coding RNA of Nothobranchius furzeri (turquoise killifish), 7096 nucleotides long. Lineage: Eukaryota; Metazoa; Chordata; Actinopteri; Cyprinodontiformes; Nothobranchiidae. The record is from RefSeq and is a predicted model, not a curated record.
UUUAAAAUGUACUUGCUCGUGUGUAAUUUGGUCAUAUCAGAUUCUGUGUUCAGAUGCAAAAAUAAGUUUCUUUCCAAAUGAAUAACAAGACAUCUGUAAAUAAACUUUUCAACAAAUAUUGAGUUUGGCCCGCAAUUUUGUCCCAGUUUUUAAUUUUGUCCCAUUGUGAAUUUGAGUUUGACACCCUUGCUUUAGGCUGUGCGUGCAGUAAUAAGGAGACAGACACUGGCUGAGCCGGUGCAUAAAUGUUAGAUUUUCUGGUGGUGUGCGAUAGUUAAAGAAAUAUUACUUUUAAAAAAAUAAAAUACAUCUUUAAAUUUUGGCCAAUGAGCUCUGGCACAUAAUAAACAGAAAUACUGCUUCAUCAUUUCAUGUACCUUUGAAUCUACAGUUGGUCUUAUUUAAAAAUGUUUUUUUAUUAAAACUAUCAUAGCUGGAGUGUUAAAAAAAUAAAAGUGCCAUAAGAUAUUUGGAAGUUGUUAUUUUAUUUCUAUUACCCAACAGUUAUCCAAUUCAUGUUUGUUCUGUUUUUGUUUUUUUUUUUCCUCUAGGAAUCAUUGAGGCGUGACAUCCUUCAGAGGUUUUACGAUCGAUUGUCAAGCAUCUUGGAGAAGCAACCUGUUGAUGGGGAAAGGCUAUAGAGCUCCGAGAGUUGACGUCACUUCUCCCGGCAUGCAACAGUUCAAAUCGAAACGGCGCCAUUUGGCAGGCAGAAGCCGGCAGCUGGGCUAUUUGUUAUUGUCAGAAAACUCAAUCAAACAGGAAAUAUGGUAGAUUCCUGUUGUGCCCCAGGAUGCAGAACAGACACGGACAACAUAAGGAAUGAGCCAUCUACAGGAUUCCUUAAGAUCCGGAGCGCCGCAAACGCUGGAUCAUUAUAAUAAAACGCACUAGUGACCAGGCUAAAAUGAAGCUGUGGGAUCCUGAGAGUAAAGGAUUUCGCUUAUGCAGCGACCGCUUCAUAUCAGGUACUUAAACCAACGUUUCCUCAACUGUGUAUGGUAUUUAUUUUAAAUGCUUUUAUUAUGAUUCUUAGUGGGCUUCCUAAACUUAUUUUGGCGUGGCUUUUUCUGUCUUAUUACUCAUAGCAGCAAGUAAACAUCACGUAAAACGUUGCCUCGUGAGUUCUGCGUGCUGCCGUUUCCGUGUUUUAUGAUCACAAUAAUUAACCGGCUAAGCUGUAUUUAAUUUUUAAGCAAUGGUUGAUCAUUUGUCAGAUCACACAUAAAAAGCACUUUGGAUUGCUAUUAUCUGUCUCACCGAGACUACUUACGUGUAAAUCUGUUAUUUGUCCGUCCAUCCAUCCAUUUUCAUCCGCGUAUCCGGAGUCGGGUUGCGGGGGCAGUAGCGUGACUUCCCUCUCCCCAGCCGCCGGAGCCAGCUCCUCCGGGUAAAUCCCAAGGGGUUCCCCAGUCAGGUCCGGUGUUGUGCCGGUAAGAAGCCCGCUCCGACAGCUUCUGGCGUCGGAGCGGGCAGUAGAGUCGAGAGUCCCAGACCUUCUCCCCAGCUCCUCCGGCCGGGGGAAUCCCAAGGGGUUCCCCCGGCCAGGUCCGGUGUUGUGCCGGUAACAAGUCCGCUCCGACAGCUUCUGGCGUUUUUAAAAAGUAUCCCAGGGGCACGGUAAGGGUUGGAGAUGUUUAGUCUAUUUAAUUUCUGACUAUAAAACGAUUUCUUCUGUUUUAAAGUGUGAAGUAAACUCCGACGAAGUAAAAUCCAAGCGGAUCCCGUUCAUGUUCAUGGUUACAUCCGUGUUUGUUUACCUUUUUUGCAUGCCAAAAUGGCGUCCACUAACUGAGAGUCACGUGGGGUCCGGAACUCUAUUAGGUGCUCUAGGUGACAUUGUUGAUGUGGGAGGGAGAGGAUAUACUUUCUGCUCUUUCCGAUCUGAAUACUAUUAUCCAGCAGGAAAGAGAUAAUCAAAAGACAUUAAUAACAGUAGACGUUGAAAGAGGUUCUCGUGGCCGUCAACGAUUGGCGGUGUCGCGAGAGGCUCUCGAACACCUUGUGGAAAUGGGUCUGCCAACAAGUGUCAUUACCAAACUCCUUGGUGUAUCCAGAGCAACUCUAUUUAGACGGAUGUCUGAAAAUAAUAUAUUUAUUUAUAUAUUUGUAUCUGCCACAUACAGUAAAUGCAGUGAUGAGGAACUAGAUUAUUUUAUCACAGUAAUUAAGAGCAACAUGCCAGAUGCUGGGUACAGGGUAGUCCGAGGUGCUCUACUUGCCCAGGGACAUAGAGUACAGUGGGACCGACUGUAUGCAUCCAUGCAUCGUGUGGACAGUGCGGGUGUACUUGCUCGAAUGACACAUCUGGGAUGUGUAGUGAGAAGGACGCACACAGUUCCUUGCCCAAAGUAUAUGGUGCACAUUGACACCAAUCACAAGCUCAUCAGGUAAUGUCUGUGUGUAAUUGGAGAUGUUAUUUUUUGUUUUGGGAGUUACAUUUUUAAUUGUCUGUGUUUUAACCAAGCCCCCACAAUGCCGCUCUAAAAAUGGUCCCAUCCCAGAAGUAAGAAAAAUUGCAGUUCCACCCUCAUCCGCUGGGGGCUGGUGCCAGAAGCGAGCAAAUCCUCAUUGACUCCCAUGUUAAAAAUACCAAUUUCACAGCAGAAAUGAACAUGUUUACAGCCUGGUACCAGAACAUGUUUUUGUCUAAAUUAUCUAGUUUAUACUCAUGACAACUCUGAGGGGGGUGAAUUUUUUUCUCACUCUUCUGUUUAAGUGUAUUGAAAGCCUAAAAUUCUGUAUAAUUAAUGAGCAUCCGACCCACGUGACCACAGAGCUAACUCUGUGGAAAGGCCUCAGUACAGCCUCGGUCCCUCCUGGAAACUGUUACGGGAUUUUGAGUCUCUGUGCUUGUGAAUUCUGUUUUGGAUAUUAUUUGUGCAAUUGUUAGACAAAAUGACUUGCUGUGGUAUUAAUUGCACUAACAGAGCGUCCAAGGAGUCCACUUCAUUUUUUUCGGUAAGUUAAAAUCUAUAUUUGUAGUUUACGUCACUGCCGCCUUUAAACUAGCUGUUUACCGAAGUAGCUAGCUAACUAUCAGUUUAACAUGUAGCAUGUACUGUUUAACCCAUAGACUGUACAUACAGUUUAUUUAACCAUGAAAUUUAAAUGUAAAAUACGGUAAAAUAAUUAAGAGUGCAUAUUUCGAUGGGUAAAAGGGUAAAACCCAGUGCAUUUAAGAUAAAAAUGGGUUGAAAUAUGACCGCUUGGAGGGACACUUCUGUGUUCCAUUGUUCCAUCCGGUACUCCGCAGCGGUCAGGCCGGGCAGCCUGACCGAUGCGGCGGCUAGCUUCUGCGCGAGCUGACCGCUCGUGUAGCUCUCGGACUCUGAGACAGAUCUGACCGUGGGGGAAACCGGAGCACCCGGAGGAAACCCACGCAUGCAUGGGGAGAACACGCAACUCCACGCAGAAAGGCCGCAGCCGAGUUUCAAACCUGCAACUUUCAUGCUGCGAGGCAACAGUGCUAACAACUGUGACACCAUGCAGCCAUUGAUGCCCGAAUGUUGUUCCUAACAUCAGACACUGGUCCUCCAUGUAGGUAUCAACCAUAUAGAUCAGGAGAGGGGCAGUUUAAGGAGUUCUGGUCUGCUUCUGGUCCAGCUGCUUCUUUAGGUGUUGCUAAGAUCGUCCAUUAAGAGGUCUGUUUAUAGGUUCAUCAUCCAUUUUUGUCUGACGUUCCCUAAUCCCAGCCUCUAAUCCCAUUCCAGCAGCUGUUUUCCUGGUUGAGACUGCAGGUGUUCUGUGGCAGUGAGUGAAUCCUCACACAAUUCCUUCACUCGUAGUCAUAUAGACAGCAUGAUGGUUUGUGUGACCCGCGCGGUUUCACUUACACCCCUUUAAUGAUCAGGCUGUUUUUAUUAUUUUUAUCAGCUGAUAGCAGUUAAAAUUAUGGGGGGGGAAAAAAACCUUUUAUCUGUUUUUGAUAACUUAAUGCCCAGGAAGAGCAUCUUCUCUAGACAUUAAAUAUAACCCAAAUGUUUUAUUAUGAGCAGAUCUGAUGAAGGUGUAGACAAGCAGUCUGCAAAGUAAAACUUGUUUAGAGUCCAAACUCUUACUAAAGCUUUUGAAAAGAAAAAAUGGUUGAAUUUUGAGAAAUAUCCACAGCAGGGGAGCGAGACCUCUGAAAAAUGUAUAUUUUCUCUGAAUUCAUAGAAUAAUGUGAGGAUUCUGGGAAAAAUUGGGAUUCUGAGAUUAAAACGUAAAUCUGUCUAAUCAUAAUUCUGCCAGUUUUUGUGUCCUUCUGCUGUGGAAAGUCGUGCAACAUGAAGAUACUGAGAAGAUGCUUAAACCUGUAUUUUUAUUCCAUCCAUAAAUAAAAUCAUGAGCUAUUUUUUAAUCCAAAUUUGAUCCAAAGGGCCAUCGUUGGUUCCAGACCCGUUCUAGAAAAUUCCUCUAAUCUUAAAGUCAUCAUCAGUUUCUUCCUUUUAACAAAUAUUUAUUUGUUCAAAUAUUUAAUAUUUAUAACUGGAAUAUUUGUUCCUCCCUCUCCCACUGCAGUUAGUCCUGUCCUGCAACCCUGUUUUUGCAGCUUAGUGAAGCCAACCAUCACUAACCUGGGGGUGGUUUUGGACCCAGAGAUGCAGAUGGACUCCCACAUUAGCCAGGUGGUUAGAUCCUGCUUUUCCUGGCUUCGCCAGCUACCAAAGAUGAAGUCCAUCCUGAAAGACGUGUCAUAUUUUCUCCCCAAGCCUGACCUGACCGUAGAUAUACUGCAGCUCGGUGAGUUGGUAGAUAGUGCUUGAUGUUAGAAGUCUGUAUGCCAUCAGAUAAACUCGCUCUUUUUUUUUUGGGGUGAGGCUUAUAUUGCAGUACGCUCGAGUCAGUAAUUUCCGGUAAGUAUUUUAAAGCCAUAUACUUAAUUAGUUCUUUGUAUGAAUUUUUCCUCUAGGUGAUCCAGAGAGGCUUGACCUUUGGGUGAGCAACCAAAGAAGAGAGGGCUGGACUCCCAAUUCAUUCUCCCGCUUGUGCAGUGAACACUUUGAGAGUCGUCACUUCACCACGGACUCCAGGGGGAGAGUUUGCCUGAAGGACACAGCCGUACCUACAAUCUUCUCGUCCUUUAAGGUCAAAAAACCUGUUCCAAGAAGGGAAGAACAGGUAAGUAGGAAUGACAAGGUACGUUUUGAGAAGGUUGCAGAUGUAGAUGCAGGUGUACACAGUCCCAUAAAAGUUGGUGUUGAUCUGAGCAAUAUAUUGAUGUGUGGAGUCACCUCGAGGUCUUUGUUACUCAAAAUGUAACACAGUAUAACACUUCCUCUGCAAGCAGUUGAGUGUUAUACUGCUCAUUCUGGUCACAGUGUUCAACACCAGAAUGACUCAGACUCUGGUCAGUUUAACGCUGUGCCAUUACAGCCAAAUAGCAUCCUGAGUGACCAUUGCUAUCAGAUCAGAGUCUCCCAAAACACUUAAAAGGAGAGUUCUGUCGGCAAAUGAAAAGGUAUGCGUAGUUCAGAAAAAGCUUAGAUUGCAAUCCUGGAAGACAAGGAGACUGAAGGCAAGAAUUUCUUCUUUGAAAAGUGUCACCAAAAUUCUUCAGAAGAAAGUAAUCAUGUCCAUGUGCUUGUAAAGAUGGCUUCAGCGUGGUGCUGCAAAAUUAGAUUAAAUCAUGUAGCACGGCAGGAGACGGACCGGAUAAAAGAAGGCAAAACUGUCCGCAAGAAGCUCACAAAAUUAAUCCAUUUUUAUGGAGAUUAGAGAAAAACUGUCCUCGUCAUAUCUUUUAGUCUGUCUGUACAUUUUGUUAUGUGCUUGUCAGAAGUUGUGACCAUGAACAUUUUUCUGAUAUUUGCAGACAGAACAUAACAUAUGAAGAGGCUUCCUUUUAUUGGACAUCCUUUUAACUGUUACUUAGAGCCUGCAUGAACGGGGCCUAAGUAUACACUGACGAAGCUCUUUAUCCUUGAAGUUUGACCCCAACAUACAGGAUGCUACACUAAGUUGUAAAUGGACUUUUAAACAGUCAGGCACGGUUUCAUUUACUGUUACAUAUAUGUUACUAUCUAUCCCUUAGAGUCUGCAUGAACGAGACCUAAGGUGAUAUUCUAACAUUUAUGUAAGUGACAGUCGUGUGACUCAGCAGUUUUUCACUGAAAUAUAAAUUAACGAGUGGAUGACUGAGACCUUCGAUGGUGCAGUUCCCCGUUCUACCACUAGAUGCUUUUCCUACACGUGGUCUGAGGUUUUCUGGUGUUUAGGAACAUUUCCACAAACAGGUACGACAUGAUGACCACCACACAGUGUGUAGUUUGUUCCUACACACGUGUGUGAGUACGGUUGGGACCCCUGGGUGUGUGUGAAUGUCUGAGUAAAAUGAAAGUCUAGGUAACUUCUACACCAUAAUACAUGUUCCGACAGACCGAGACAGUCUAUUUGAGAAAUGUGUCAUUUGCUAAACUUGGGAUUUUGAUGCCACGGAGAAUAAUUUACUUUUGUUUUUAUACCUAUAGUGGAGGAGUUUAAGUAUUUCGGGGUCUUGUUCACGAGUGAGGGUUGGAGGGAUCGGGAGAUCGACAGGCGGAUUGGUUCGGCGUCUGCAGUGAUGCGGACGCUGAGCCGAUCUGUCGUGGUGAAGAGGGAGCUGAGCCAGAAAGCCAGGCUCUCUAUUUACCGGUCGAUCUACGUCCCAAUCCUCACCUAUGGUCAUGAGCUUUGGGUAAUGACCGAAAGAACGAGAUCACGGAUACAAGCGGCCGAAAUGAGUUUCCUCCGUAGGGUGGCCGGGCUCAGCCUUAGAGAUAGGGUGAGGAGCUCGGACAUUCGGGAGGGACUCGGAGUAGAACCGCUGCUCCUCCGGAUCGAAAGGAGCCAGUUGAGGUGGUUUGGGCAUCUGGUCAGGAUGCCUCCUGGACGCCUCCCUGGGGAGGUGUUUCGGGCAUGUCCUGCCGGCAGGAGGCCCCCGGGUCGACCCAGGACACGCUGGAGAGGUUACAUCUCCAAUCUGGUCCGGGAACGCCUUGGGGUCCUGCCGGAGGAGCUGGUGGAGGUGGCCGGGGAGAGGACGGUCUGGAGCUCCCUAGUUGGGAUGCUGCCCCCGCGACCCGGACCCGGAUAAGCAGAGGAAGACGACAACGACGACUCAAAAUAGUAUUUU